Molecule: ribosomal RNA, 492 nt
Filed under: uncultured bacterium
Lineage: Bacteria
Description: partial 16S ribosomal RNA
Rfam family: Bacterial small subunit ribosomal RNA
Source: RNAcentral
GAUGAACGCUAGCGGCAGGCUUAACGCAUGCAAGUCGAGGGGUAUAGUAGCAAUACUAGAGACCGGCGCACGGGUGCGUAACGCGUAUGCAAUCUACCUUUCACAGAGGGAUAGCCCAGAGAAAUUUGGAUUAAUACCUCAUAGUAUAGUAUCUUGGCAUCAAGGAACUAUUAAAGUCACAACGGUGAAAGAUGAGCAUGCGUCCCAUUAGUUAGUUGGUAAGGUAACGGCUUACCAAGACUACGAUGGGUAGGGGUCCUGAGAGGGAGAUCCCCCGCACUGGUACUGAGACACGGACCAGACUCCUACGGGAGGCAGCAGUGAGGAAUAUUGGACAAUGGGCGCAAGCCUGAUCCAGCCAUGCCGCGUGCAGGAUGACGGUCCUAUGGAUUGUAAACUGCUUUUGUACAGGAAGAAACACCCCGACGUGUCGGGACUUGACGGUACUGUAAGAAUAAGGAUCGGCUAACUCCGUGCCAGCAGCCGCCGUAA